This 131-nucleotide non-coding RNA is filed under the name uncultured Pseudomonas sp. Its description in RNAcentral is "rmf RNA". It matches the Rfam family "rmf RNA". Lineage: Bacteria; Pseudomonadati; Pseudomonadota; Gammaproteobacteria; Pseudomonadales; Pseudomonadaceae. The record is from RNAcentral.
UUGGUUAGAACAUCAACCAAGGCAACGAUGCAAUGUCGCUUGCCUUGAGGUCGGUUACGCCGGCAACGGACCUCGACGCAGCUAAAAAGCUGCACAGCCUCGCCAUGAGGCGUAUGGACAUCACAGUCAAC